GAUGAACGCUAGCGGCAGGCCUAAUACAUGCAAGUCGAACGGGAUCCAGAUCAAAGCUUGCUUUGGUCUGGUGAGAGUGGCGCACGGGUGCGUAACGCGUGAGCAACCUACCCUUGUCAGGGGGAUAGCCCGGCGAAAGUCGGAUUAAUACCGCAUGACAUCAUUGAGAGGCAUCUUUCGAUGAUCAAAGAUUUAUCGGACAAGGAUGGGCUCGCGUGACAUUAGCUUGUUGGUAAGGUAACGGCUUACCAAGGCUGCGAUGUCUAGGGGCUCUGAGAGGAGAAUCCACCACACUGGUACCGAGACACAGACCAGACUGCUACGGGAGGCAGCAGAAAGGAAUAUUGGGCAAGGGACGGAAGUCUGAACCAGCCAUGCCGCGUGAAGGAGGACGGCCCUAUGGGUUGUAAACUGCCUUUAUACGGGAACAAACGUCGGUACGUGUACCGGUCUGAGUGUACCGUAAGAAUAAGGAUCGGCUAACUCCGUG
RNAcentral lists this ribosomal RNA (490 nucleotides) under uncultured bacterium. Its description in RNAcentral is "partial 16S ribosomal RNA". It matches the Rfam family "Bacterial small subunit ribosomal RNA", at positions 28 to 507 of the family's 1533-position model. The record is from RNAcentral.